RNAcentral lists this long non-coding RNA (4234 nucleotides) under Homo sapiens (human). RNAcentral's name for it is "HSALNT0153459". The record is from RNAcentral. Lineage: Eukaryota; Metazoa; Chordata; Mammalia; Primates; Hominidae.
GCUGGGAUUAAGGCAUGAGCCACAGCGCCCGGCCUAGAUAAAAUUUCUUGUAUUUCUUGGUUUUUUGUUUGUUUGUUUUUGUCCUACUGGGAACCCUGAGAUUCCACUGCAAUUCUCUUCUUGAAGUCCCAGUUUUGAUCCCAAGCUCCAAUAUGGAAUUGAAAAUACGAGGAACACCUCAACAAUAUUCUUCCUUUUUCUCUAGGGGCCCAGGAGAGACUAAAAGCUAUGAAGGAAUUUGAUGUGGGGAACCCCAACAGAGCCAAGAAGGUACCCAGAGACUUUAGAAACUAUAGGGACUUACUUCUCAGGACCCCUUUGAAACCUAGACCUAAGAGGAUGAUUUGAUGCUGAGACAGCAUGACAUGCAGAGUGACUCAAUCCAACAGAAUGCUAAGUCUCAGUGAGCUGUCACCCCAUUCUGCACCAGAUGAAUAACUCUGCAACACUCAGAUGAUUGUGACCUCCUCCUGCCGUGCCUGCCCACAUGUCACCAGUAGAAGCAAGAAUGAACAUUUGUGAAAAAAUUAGUCUGCAUUGUCAAUUGUCAUCCUGGAGAGAAAAUGACUUGAUCUUCAGUGAUAACAGGAAUAUUACCAUCUUUCAGCCCCAUCUCAUUUUUCUUCACUUACUCAGAGUCUUACUCAGCGACCUAAUACUGAGUCUACUGAUGUCUUCACCUGCAAGAGCAACCUCCUUCCCAAAUCAGUUCCCACUCCUAACAGGAGCAGAGGCAAUAUCAGUAGCCCUUUUUUAUUUUUUUUCCUGAGACAGAGUCUUGCUCUGUCGCCCAGGCUGGAGUGCAGUGGCACAAUCUCGGUUUACUGCAACCUCUGCCUCCUGGGUUUGAGCGAUUCCCCUGCCUCAGCCUCCUGAGUAACUGGGAUUACAGGCACCUGCCACCAUGCCCGGCUGAUUUUUUGUAGUUUUAGUAGAGAUGGGGUUUCACCGUGUUGGUCAGGCUGGUCAAUUCCUGACCUCGUGAUCCACCCACCUCCCAAAGUGCUGGGAUUACAGGCAUGAGCCACUGUGCCCAGCCGCCUUUUUUGUUCUCUUCCUUGAUCUUAGGAGUUUAGGAAAUGAUCACACUCCCAGAUCCAAGAUCUGGUGUUCUACCCUCAAAGCCAAUGGACUCACAAGAUCCCACCAAGCAGAUCUAAAUGAUCUAGGACUAAUAAUGCAGGCUCUGAAGUUAGAGAGACUUAGAGUCAAAUCUGAACUCUGCCACUUAACCUUGCACAAGGCCAGUGUCUCAAUUAGGUUAGGAUAGUCAACAAUGCUAAAUAAGAAAAUUCAUUUCUCGGCUGGGCACGGUGGUUCACACCUGUAAUCCCAGCACUUUGCGAGGCCGAGGCAGGCGGAUCACGAGGUCAGGAGUUCAAGACCAGCCUGGUCAACAUGGUAAAACCCUGUCUCUGCUAAAAUACAAAAAUUAGCUGGGCGUGAUGGCACACGCCUGUAAUCCCAGCUACUCGGGAGGCUGAGGCAGGAGAAUUGCUUGAACUCAGGAGGCAGAGGCUGCAGUGAGACCAGAUGGCACCACUGCACUCCAGCCUAGGCGACAGAGCAAGACUCCAUCUCAAAAAAAGAAAAUUAAUUUCUCAUCACAAUAUACGUCCAACAUAGGUUAGUGGAAGGCAGUGCUCCAUAUUAUUACUCAAGAACCCAGGCUGAGAAAGGUUCCAUCUUAUAAUGUCACCAUCACAACACAUGGUGUUCAGGGAUACUAAGACAGGGGAAAGAUGAGGGAUGGGCCAAGUUUGAGGUUUUAACCAUCUCAUCCCAGAAAUGAUACAAUGGCAUUCCAGUUUUGGUCCAUUGGCUAGAACUAGUCAUGUAGCCCUGCCAACCUGCAAGGGCCUAAGAAUCAUCACCUUCCUUAUUACCAGAAAGUGGAGGAGAACUGGAUAUGAGUAAAUAAUUUUACUGCAGCCCAGCACACAGAGUGUGAUACUACUGUGUAGUUACUUUCUUCCUUCAAGUUUCCUGUAGGUCCAAUAGACCAAGGAUUCAUUAAGCUAAGGAAGGGCCCUGUUGUUUGUAUAACCACCCAUCAGAAGACUCUAUCCCCCAUGUCACCCUCAACCUCAAUGCCACUCCACAAUGAACAGGCUCAGUUCACCAGCAUGGGCUUAUGACCUAGGCUUUUCUUCCUAGCCAGUCUUGCCCUAUUGUCCUGCUUGAUUUUUUGGCCUGCCCCUCUAAGCUUGAGCCUUAUCCUAAUAAGAAACUUUGUAGGACUGGAAGCUUCAUAUCUUGUUCAGCUCUUGCCAGUUCUCCUUAUGAGCAGUCAAUCAAUGUUUUAGCAGUGGAGCCAUCUUGGAUCCUCAAACUUCUUGGAGGCCAAAGGGCUAAACAAUUCCCAGUCACAGCGAAUUUGCUGCCAAAGAUACACUCACUCAGCCUUUCCAAGGAAGUGACUGGAUAUGUAAAAAAGGGUUAUGUACAAAGAUGUUUAUUGAAACAUUAUUUGUAAUAGCAAAAUAUUGGGAAUAACCUAAAUGUCCACCAAAGGAGAAUGCUUAUAAAUAUGAAUCAUCCACAUGAUGGAUGUAUAAGUUAUGCCUGCCAAGUUCAUCAGGGUAAACAGAAGAGACAAAAUCAGAUUAUUUAUUAGGAUGGAGUUGAUUUCCUAACACAGUGGGACCUGCUUUCAUUUUGUUUGCCCUGCAGCUCUACUAUCCCAGAUUUUAUUGAUUCAUUUCAGGGCCAUUCUAUAGGCAGCAUCUCCACUGGGCAGCCAGGGCCCAGCUCAUGUGUAGUUGGGUAGCCUUUGCUACUGCAUUGGUCCCCAAUCCAAUCAUCUGUGAUUAGGGGAGCGGCUAGCUCUCCUCGAAAGUAGAGAAGGUUGUCCUGGCCUCUAAUGAAUUAUCCUUUAGUCAGUCUAAUUCAGUGAAAUAUUAUGUACCCUUUAAAAAUUGUAUUUACCAGAAGUUUUUAAUGACCUGGAAAAGUAUGCAGGAAAUAUCGUUAGGUUUUUAAAAUUUAUAAAAUUGAAUCUAUACUCUGACAUAUGUUAUAACAUAAAUUAACCUUAAAAGACAGACGCGGUGGCUAACGCCUGUAAUCCCAGCACUUUAGGAGGCCAAGGCGGGUGGAUCACCUGAGGUCAGGAGUUCAAGACCAGAGUGGCCAACAUGGCAAAACCCCAUCUCUACUAACAAUACAAAAUUAGUGGGGCAUGGUGGUGGGAACCUAUAAUCCCAGCUAUUCCGUAAGCUGAGGCAUGAGAAUUGCUUGAACCCGGGGGGCAGAGGUUGCAGUGAGCUAAGAUCGUGCCACUUCACACUAGCCUGGGCAAAAGAGCGAAACUCUAUCUCAAAAUAAAUAAAUAAAUAAAAAUAAAUGAACCAAGUGAAAUAAGCCAAUCAAAAAAAGGGCAAUAUUGUAUGAUUCCACUUUCUUUUUUUUUUUUUUUUUUUUUUUUUGAGAUGGAGUCUCACUCUGUAGCCCAAGCUGGAGUGCAGUGGCGUGAUCUCGGCCUUCACUACAACCUUUAUCUCUUGGGGCUCAAGCAAUUCUCCUGCCUCGGCCUCCCAAGAAGUUGGGACUAGAGGCUUGCACAACCACACCCAGUUAAUUUUAUGUAUUUUUAGUAGAGACGGGGUUUCACCAUGUUGCUCUGGGUGGUCUGGAACUCCUGAGCUCAGGCAAUCCACCCUCCUCAGCCUCCCAGAGUGGUGGGAUUAUAGGCGUGAGCCACCAUGCCCAGCCAUGAUUCCACUUACAUGAGGUCCCAGGAGUAGUAAAAUCAUAAUGACAGAAAAUAGAAGGGUGGUUGCCAGAGGCUGGAGGGAGAGGGAAAUAGGGUUUAAUGUUUAAUGGGUAUAGAGUUUCAGUUUUGCAAGAUGAAUAAAGUUCUGGAGACGAAUGGAUGGUGGUGAUGGUUGCACAACAAUGUGAAUGUACUUAAUACCACUGAACUGUACAUUUAAAAUGGCUAAAAUGGUAAAUUUUAUGUUAUGUGUAUUUUACCACAAUUUAAAGAAUUGAAUCUAUAGUUUCAUCACAAAUGUGUGAGGUUUUCUUUUUAAACAAAUGUUUGAGUAUAUGUGUGUGCAUGUGUGUGUGUAUAAUUAUGCCUAGUGUUCUGCCUUUGGUAAUGAGAGGAAGAUGCUACAGUUUCUUCCCUCAUGCUCUUCCUUUAGCUAGUGCAAGGGUUGGCAAACUGUGGCCCUUCAGCCAUGUCCAGCUUCUCAUUUGUUUUCAUAAAUAAAGUUUUAUUGAAACACAG